GGAUUAGCCUCGAUGGUUCGGGGGAUAGACUUCAAAUCUAUCGCGGCCUAGACAGCCGAGUGGUUCAAUUCCACAUUC
RNAcentral lists this transfer RNA (78 nucleotides) under Chrysotila carterae. RNAcentral's name for it is "Selenocysteine transfer RNA". It matches the Rfam family "Selenocysteine transfer RNA". Lineage: Eukaryota; Haptophyta; Isochrysidales; Isochrysidaceae. The record is from RNAcentral.